CGGACGGGGGAGUAAUGUCUGGGAAACGUGCCUGAUGGAGGGGGAUAACUACUGGAAACGGUAGCUAAUACCGCAUAACGUCGCAAGACCAAAGAGGGGGACCUUAGGGCCUCCUGCCAUCGGAUGUGCCCAGAUGGGAUUAGCUAGUAGGUGGGGUAACGGCUCACCUAGGCGACGAUCCCUAGCUGGUCUGAGAGGAUGACCAGCCACACUGGAACUGAGACACGGUCCAG
Molecule: ribosomal RNA, 233 nt
Filed under: uncultured bacterium
Lineage: Bacteria
Description: partial 16S ribosomal RNA
Rfam family: Bacterial small subunit ribosomal RNA
Source: RNAcentral